RNAcentral lists this small RNA (1029 nucleotides) under Pongo abelii (Sumatran orangutan). Its description in RNAcentral is "retained intron". The record is from RNAcentral. Lineage: Eukaryota; Metazoa; Chordata; Mammalia; Primates; Hominidae.
AGGGCGGAGACUGUGCCGACAUGGAGCUGGGCCUCGCUGGCCGCCGGGUGCUGGUCACCGGGGCAGGCAAAGGUGGGCGGCGGGGAAAGGUGGGCAAAGGCCGGCGGCGGGCAGAGGCGGGCAGGGGACGCCCUCACUGAGCCCGCUCCCGGCAGGUAUCGGGCGCGGCACGGUCCAGGCGCUGCACGCGGCGGGCGCGCGGGUGGUGGCUGUGAGCCGGACGCAGGGGGAUCUUGACAGCCUUGUCCGCGAGGUCACCAGCCCCAGUCCCCAGCUGUGCCGCUUGCUGGGCACAGAGCCUCUGGUUACUGCCCCCUGAUACACACAGUGCCCGGGGAUAGAACCCGUGUGCGUGGACCUGGGUGACUGGGAGGCCACCGAGCGGGCGCUGGGCAGCGUGGGCCCCGUGGACCUGCUGGUGAACAACGCCGCUGUCGCCCUGCUGCAGCCCUUCCUGGAGGUCACCAAGGAGGCCUUUGACAGAUCCGUUGAGGUGAACCUGCGUGCGGCCAUCCAGGUGUCACAGGUGAGCUGCCCUGUGGGCUGGACGGGAAUUCUGGUGAGUGAUGCCAGCUCUGCUUCACCGUCUCGCUGCAAUUCCAGAUUGUAGCCAGGGGCUUAAUAGCCCGGGGAGUCCCAGGGGCCAUCGUGAAUGUCUCCAGCCAGGGCUCCAAGCGGGCAGUAACUAACCAUAGCGUCUACUGCUCCACCAAGGGUGCCCUGGACAUGCUAACCAAGGUGAUGGCCCUAGAGCUCGGGCCCCACAAGGUGAGCAGGGCUGGGGUACCUCCCCCAACCUAGGCCACCCCACUUGCCCUGCUGACCCCAGCUGUCCCGGUAUAGAUCCGAGUGAAUGCAGUAAACCCCACAGUGGUGAUGACGCCCAUGGGCCAGGCGGCCUGGAGUGACCCCCACAAAGCCAAGACUAUGCUGGACCGAAUCCCACUUGGCAAGUUUGCUGAGGUAGAGCACGUGGUGGACGCCAUCCUCUUUCUGCUGAGUGACCGAAGCGGCAUGACCACGGGUUCC